AACGCACCUUGCGCUCCUCGGUAUUCCUUGGAGCAUGCCUGUUUGAGUAUCAUGAAAUCUUCAAGAUAGAUCUUUCGUUCGUUCGAUUGAUUUUAUUUUGGACUUGGAGGUCUUGCAGAUUCUCACAUCUGCUCCUCUCAAAUGCAUCAGCUGGAUCUCCGUGAGCUCGGUUCCACUCGGCGUGAUAAGUAAUUGCUCGCCGAGGACACUGUAAAAAGUGGGCCGGGUCCACAGAUGAACUGCUCCCGACCGUCCGUUAGCUUGGACGAUUGAACUUUUAUGAUCUGAUCUCAAAUCAGGUAGGAAUACCCGCUGAACUUAA
RNAcentral lists this unclassified non-coding RNA (322 nucleotides) under uncultured Ceratobasidium. RNAcentral describes it as "sequence contains ITS2". Lineage: Eukaryota; Fungi; Basidiomycota; Agaricomycetes; Cantharellales; Ceratobasidiaceae. The record is from RNAcentral.